GGGUUGUGAGGUUAAGCGACUAAGCGUACACGGUGGAUGCCCUGGCAGUCAGAGGCGAUGAAGGACGUGCUAAUCUGCGAAAAGCGUCGGUAAGGUGAUAUGAACCGUUAUAACCGGCGAUGUCCGAAUGGGGAAACCCAGUGCAAUUCGUUGCACUAUCGUUAACUGAAUACAUAGGUUAACGAGGCGAACCGGGGGAACUGAAACAUCUAAGUACCCCGAGGAAAAGAAAUCAACCGAGAUUCCCCCAGUAGCGGCGAGCGAACGGGGAGCAGCCCAGAGUCUGAAUCAGCUUGUGUGUUAGUGGAACGGUCUGGAAAGUCCGACGGUACAGGGUGAUAGUCCCGUACACCAAAAUGCACAGGCUGUGAACUCGAAGAGUAGGGCGGGACACGUGGUAUCCUGUCUGAAUAUGGGGGGACCAUCCUCCAAGGCUAAAUACUCCUGACUGACCGAUAGUGAACCAGUAGUACCGUGAGGGAAAGGCGAAAAGAACCCCGGCGAGGGGAGUGAAAAAAAAGAACCUGAAACCGUGUACGUACAAGCAGUGGGAGCACCUUCGGGUGUGACUGCGUACCUUUUGUAUAAUGGGUCAGCGACUUAUAUUUUGUAGCAAGGUUAACCGUAUAGGGGAGCCGCAGGGAAACCGAGUCUUAACUGGGCGUUAAGUUGCAGGGUAUAGACCCGAAACCCGGUGAUUCUAGCCAUGGGCAGGUUGAAGGUUGGGUAACACUAACUGGAGGACCGAACCGACUAAUGUUGAAAAAUUAGCGGAUGACUUGUGGCUGGGGGUGAAAGGCCAAUCAAACCGGGAGAUAGCUGGUUCUCCCCGAAAGCUAUUUAGGUAGCGCCUCGUGAACUCAUCUUCGGGGGUAGAGCACUGUUUCGGCUAGGGGGUCAUCCCGACUUACCAACCCGAUGCAAACUACGAAUACCGAAGAAUGUUAUCACGGGAGACACACGGCGGGUGCUAACGUCCGUCGUGAAGAGGGAAACAACCCAGACCGCCAGCUAAGGUCCCAAAGUCAUGGUUAAGUGGGAAACGAUGUGGGAAGGCACAGACAGCCAGGAUGUUGGCUUAGAAGCAGCCAUCAUUUAAAGAAAGCGUAAUAGCUCACUGGUCGAGUCGGCCUGCGCGGAAGAUGUAACGGGGCUAAACCAUGCACCGAAGCUGCGGCAGCGACACUAUGUGUUGUUGGGUAGGGGAGCGUUCUGUAAGCCUGCGAAGGUGUGCUGUGAGGGUUGCUGGAGGUAUCAGAAGUGCGAAUGCUGACAUAAGUAACGAUAAAGCGGGUGAAAAGCCCGCUCGCCGGAAGACCAAGGGUUCCUGUCCAACGUUAAUCGGGGCAGGGUGAGUCGACCCCUAAGGCGAGGCCGAAAGGCGUAGUCGAUGGGAAACAGGUUAAUAUUCCUGUACUUGGUGUUACUGCGAAGGGGGGACGGAGAAGGCUAUGUUAGCCGGGCGACGGUUGUCCCGGUUUAAGCAUGUAGGCUGGUUGUCCAGGCAAAUCCGGAUAAUCAAGGCUGAGGUGUGAUGACGAGGCACUACGGUGCUGAAGUAACAAAUGCCCUGCUUCCAGGAAAAGCCUCUAAGCAUCAGGUAACAUCAAAUCGUACCCCAAACCGACACAGGUGGUCAGGUAGAGAAUACCAAGGCGCUUGAGAGAACUCGGGUGAAGGAACUAGGCAAAAUGGUGCCGUAACUUCGGGAGAAGGCACGCUGGUGUGUAGGUGAAGUCCCUGCGGAUGGAGCUGAGACCAGUCGAAGAUACCAGCUGGCUGCAACUGUUUAUUAAAAAACACAGCACUGUGCAAACACGAAAGUGGACGUAUACGGUGUGACGCCUGCCCGGUGCCGGAAGGUUAAUUGAUGGGGUUAUCCGUAAGGAGAAGCUCUUGAUCGAAGCCCCGGUAAACGGCGGCCGUAACUAUAACGGUCCUAAGGUAGCGAAAUUCCUUGUCGGGUAAGUUCCGACCUGCACGAAUGGCGUAAUGAUGGCCAGGCUGUCUCCACCCGAGACUCAGUGAAAUUGAACUCGCUGUGAAGAUGCAGUGUACCCGCGGCAAGACGGAAAGACCCCGUGAACCUUUACUAUAGCUUGACACUGAACAUUGAGCCUUGAUGUGUAGGAUAGGUGGGAGGCUUUGAAGCGUGGACGCCAGUCUGCGUGGAGCCAACCUUGAAAUACCACCCUUUAAUGUUUGAUGUUCUAACGUUGGCCCCUGACCGGGGUUGCGGACAGUGUCUGGUGGGUAGUUUGACUGGGGCGGUCUCCUCCCAAAGCGUAACGGAGGAGCACGAAGGUUAGCUAAUCCUGGUCGGACAUCAGGAGGUUAGUGCAAUGGCAUAAGCUAGCUUGACUGCGAGCGUGACGGCGCGAGCAGGUGCGAAAGCAGGUCAUAGUGAUCCGGUGGUUCUGAAUGGAAGGGCCAUCGCUCAACGGAUAAAAGGUACUCCGGGGAUAACAGGCUGAUACCGCCCAAGAGUUCAUAUCGACGGCGGUGUUUGGCACCUCGAUGUCGGCUCAUCACAUCCUGGGGCUGAAGUAGGUCCCAAGGGUAUGGCUGUUCGCCAUUUAAAGUGGUACGCGAGCUGGGUUUAGAACGUCGUGAGACAGUUCGGUCCCUAUCUGCCGUGGGCGCUGGAGAAUUGCGGGGGGGCUGCUCCUAGUACGAGAGGACCGGAGUGGACGCAUCACUGGUGUUCGGGUUGUCAUGCCAAUGGCACUGCCCGGUAGCUAAAUGCGGAAGAGAUAAGUGCUGAAAGCAUCUAAGCACGAAACUUGCCCCGAGAUGAGUUCUCCCUGAGACUUUAAGUCUCCUGAAGGAACGUUAAAGACGAUGACGUUGAUAGGCCGGGUGUGUAAGCGCAGCGAUGCGUUGAGCUAACCGGUACUAAUGAACCGUGAGGCUUAACCUUACAACGCCGAAG
This 2932-nucleotide ribosomal RNA is filed under the name Klebsiella pneumoniae subsp. pneumoniae. RNAcentral's name for it is "23S ribosomal RNA". It matches the Rfam family "Bacterial large subunit ribosomal RNA". Lineage: Bacteria; Pseudomonadati; Pseudomonadota; Gammaproteobacteria; Enterobacterales; Enterobacteriaceae. The record is from RNAcentral.